GCCGGGUGCGGUGGCACACACCUGGGAUCCCUGUGCCUUGGGAGGCUGAGGCAGGAGGAUCUUAGGUUCAAAGCCAGCCUCAGUGAGACCCUGUCUCUA
RNAcentral lists this small RNA (99 nucleotides) under Marmota monax (woodchuck). Lineage: Eukaryota; Metazoa; Chordata; Mammalia; Rodentia; Sciuridae. The record is from RNAcentral.